AGAGCGAACGCUGGCGGCAGGCCUAACACAUGCAAGUCGAACGGACCCUUCGGGGUUAGUGGCGGACGGGUGAGUAACACGUGGGAACGUGCCUUUAGGUUCGGAAUAGCUCCUGGAAACGGGUGGUAAUGCCGAAUGUGCCCUUCGGGGGAAAGAUUUAUCGCCUUUAGAGCGGCCCGCGUCUGAUUAGCUUGUUGGUGAGGUAAUGGCUCACCAAGGCUACGAUCAGUAGCUGGUCUAGAGAGGAUGACCAGCCACA
Molecule: ribosomal RNA, 259 nt
Filed under: uncultured soil bacterium
Lineage: Bacteria
Description: partial 16S ribosomal RNA
Rfam family: Bacterial small subunit ribosomal RNA
Source: RNAcentral